UUUUUGAUAGAAAGGUUUUGAAAGCCUUUAUAGGGUAUAUUUGUACCCCCUAGUGUAA
RNAcentral lists this transfer RNA (58 nucleotides) under Siphonaria pectinata. RNAcentral's name for it is "tRNA-Ser". Lineage: Eukaryota; Metazoa; Mollusca; Gastropoda; Siphonariida; Siphonariidae. The record is from RNAcentral.